CGGGUGAGUAACGCGUGGGUAACCUGCCUUGUACAGGGGGAUAACAGUUGGAAACGGCUGCUAAUACCGCAUAAGCGCACGGCAUCGCAUGAUGCAGUGUGAAAAACUCCGGUGGUAUAAGAUGGACCCGCGUCUGAUUAGCUAGUUGGUAAGGUAACGGCUUACCAAGGCGACGAUCAGUAGCCGACCUGAGAGGGUGACCGGCCACAUUGGGACUGAGACACGGCCCAG
Molecule: ribosomal RNA, 231 nt
Filed under: uncultured bacterium
Lineage: Bacteria
Description: partial 16S ribosomal RNA
Rfam family: Bacterial small subunit ribosomal RNA
Source: RNAcentral